Non-coding RNA from Cicer arietinum (chickpea), 735 nucleotides. Lineage: Eukaryota; Viridiplantae; Streptophyta; Magnoliopsida; Fabales; Fabaceae. The record is from RefSeq and is a predicted model, not a curated record.
UUUCUUUUUGGCUUGUUCACUACCAAAGUGUGAUCAAUAUUCACAUUGUUACUGUUCAUGUUCAUUUGACCACCUUUGACCGCCUACUUCACGCUACCUCCCACACCACAAGACUCACCUCCAUUAUAUCGGCUAAAACCUAAAGCGCCGCUAUUAACUGCCUAUUCAUGUGCGCCUUCUAGUUCAGCACGUGACACCCACUUGUGACGUCAUCUGUAGCGCAUGGUGUCUAUGCGCCGCCUUCUAGACCUCUGGUCACCGCUGUUUUCAAAUAAAUUGUAGAACGGUGAUUUCUUGUUUUGUUUUGGGUGUUCACUUUUCGAUCGGAGCACUUUUGUUUGUGGAUCAUUUAAAGCUCACACGGUUUUUGUGCGACCUUUUCUGUUGCGCUAAAGAAAGAGAAAGGGGAUUGACCCGACUCAAAUGAAAAUGAAGGAGAUUGUUUCUUUGGUAUAUACAAGUACACUUCCUCUUGAUAACAUUGCAAUGAAAUAAUGACAGUUACUAUAUAAAUAGUAGAGAUAUAACAAUGAAUUACCAAAGAUAGUGUUGGAUGGUUUUGAAGCAGCCUGAUUCUUAGCAGCAUCGCCCAUCAACCUUUCAUCAUCAGUGAAAGCAACAAAAGAAAGUGUGGUUUUGAAAUAUGCAAGUGUGAUUUUGAAAUGCCUCCAAUACAUACAAACCGUGUAAAUUUCUUUCACAAUGCAUGCUGAUUUUUUUAUUAUUAUAAAAAAG